AGUGAACGCUGGCGGUAGGCCUAACACAUGCAAGUCGAACGGCAGCACAGUAAGGGCUUGCUCUUACGGGUGGCGAGUGGCGGACGGGUGAGGAAUACAUCGGAAUCUACUUUUUCGUGGGGGAUAACGUAGGGAAACUUACGCUAAUACCGCAUAUGACCUACGGGUGAAAGCAGGGGAUCUUCGGACCUUGCGCGAUUGAAUGAGCCGAUGUCGGAUUAGCUAGUUGGCGGGGUAAAGGCCCACCAAGGCGACGAUCCGUAGCUGGUCUGAGAGGAUGAUCAGCCACACUGGAACUGAGACACGGUCCAGACUCCUACGGGAGGCAGCAGUGGGGAAUAUUGGACAAUGGGCGCAAGCCUGAUCCAGCCAUACCGCGUGGGUGAAGAAGGCCUUCGGGUUGUAAAGCCCUUUUGUUGGGAAAGAAAAGCAGCAGGUUAAUACCCCGCUGUUCUGACGGUACCCAAAGAAUAAGCACCGGCUAACUUCGUG
This 492-nucleotide ribosomal RNA is filed under the name uncultured bacterium. Its description in RNAcentral is "partial 16S ribosomal RNA". It matches the Rfam family "Bacterial small subunit ribosomal RNA", at positions 29 to 507 of the family's 1533-position model. The record is from RNAcentral.